AUUGAACGCUAGCGGGAUGCCUUACACAUGCAAGUCGAACGGCAGCGCGGACUUCGGUCUGGCGGCGAGUGGCGAACGGGUGAGUAAUGUAUCGGAACGUACCCCAGUAGCGGGGGACAACCACUCGAAAGAGUGGCUAAUACCGCAUACGCCCUACGGGGAAAGGGGGGAGUCGCAAGACCUCUCACUAUUGGAGCGGCCGAUAUCGGAUUAGCUAGUUGGUGGGGUAAAGGCCUACCAAGGCGACGAUCCGUAGCUGGUUUGAGAGGACGACCAGCCACACUGGGACUGAGACACGGCCCAGACUCCUACGGGAGGCAGCAGUGGGGAAUUUUGGACAAUGGGGGAAACCCUGAUCCAGCCAUUCCGCGUGUGCGAUGAAGGCCUUCGGGUUGUAAAGUCACUUUUGGCAGGAAAGAAAUACGUGUGGGUUAAUACCCUGCGCGGAUGACGGUACCUGUCAGAAUAAGCACCGGCUAACUACGUGCCAGCA
Molecule: ribosomal RNA, 493 nt
Filed under: uncultured bacterium
Lineage: Bacteria
Description: bacterial SSU rRNA
Rfam family: Bacterial small subunit ribosomal RNA
Source: RNAcentral